UGAAUUUCUAUUGAAAACUGAAAACUAUUUUCAUAGGAUAAUGAACAAUUCAGCACACUAGAUCGGUGGGUGUGACAAUAUUAAGCCUGACCUGAUGUUGCCUUUUCCAUUCCCCUUCCACUCAGUGAGGCGUACAGCUGGUAUCAGAUCACUACAUUCCUGUUUAAAAUGCUGAUGGGACGAUGCCUUCACUGACUGUAAAUCAACUGUAAAUCAAUGCCAGUAAGGUUAGAGACGAGCCUUUGAACCUGUGAUGCAGCCGUCACUCUGAACCAACCACCUCAACAGUCUGGAAAGUUAUAGCAACGGUGUGUGUACUAGUGUAGUCCUAAAACCUGCUCAUUAUUCCUCACACUGAUGAUGAACGGAGUUCUAGAAAACCCAGCAUUCGAUUCUAUAGAAGAAGCACAUCUGAAGAUAAAGCUGGUUGUUCAUAACAAACUUAACAUAACAAGACCUUCAAAAGAGAUAGCAGAGGAAGCGGAAGGCAAUCAGAGCGUGACGGCCGGGCAGUCGGUACCAGCGUGUGUCUUUAAGAUGGAGGCAGAAUGAGUUACGCUGGAUGCGCGAGGGAGGAGAUGCCCGCGGCGCCUUCUUACUGGACUAAAGGAGGCUGGGCUGUCAGCCUGUGAUUAAUCUACCACUGUCUGUCUAAUUACCACGCGUGUGCCCCUCCGUGUUCCUCCGCCCCGCUGGGACCCCCGCUGACCCACACCGGAAACUCGCUGCUCCCAAUGCAAAUUAAAGCCCUGUAAAUAUUUGCUUUUAACUCUUGCCGACACAUUGUUUCCAAUUUUGCGCUCCAGUGGUGCGCAACCUCAACACUACUCCACACACACUCACACACACACUGAUUCGUGUGUGUGUGUGGACAUCUCUCUGUUGUCAACAGGUUUGCUGACAGCUCUUCCUCCUCCUCCUCCUCUUCCUCCUCCAUGUAUCCUCCCAUUGUGUCUGUAUUGCAGCUGGCAGUCCAUCAUCCCGUUCUGGUCUACUGUCCCAGUCUAGUGUCAAAACACAGAACUUUGCCCAGUCAAAGGAACCCAAACAGAGCUUGCAUUAGCUGACGCAGCACAACACACCCACUUUCCGAUGGAACUGUUACGGUAGAUCUGCAUUGUGGGUAAUGCAAAGAGAACAAAAAUAGACGAUAUACGUGGUUCUCCUCGAUUGGAACCGUUUGGAACAGUUUGAUAUGAGUGGGAAGUAGAGCAAUUAAACUUCAAUUUGAUCCGGAUGAAAUGGGGAAAAAACAUCAUGGAAUGUAUCUUAAGUAUGAAGUAAUUUAUAUUUCAAUCUUAUAUAAAAAUGUGUAACGCUCCACCUGAAAUCUCUGUAAUGUUACAGUUUUUGUUACACAGAGAGUUGAAUGAUAUUUUUCCUAAACCCAUUAGCUUCGACAUAAUGCCAGUUAAAGCUCCCCGUCCAUCACGGGAACGUUGUAAAAUAGUGGAGCUGUUGUCAACAUGACAUUCUCAGAAAAUAAGCUACCUUCAUUGUCAGGACAAUGUAAUGUUCCUCAAUCACAAAGUCGCUGAAAUGGUGCUGCAAGAGAGUUUAACACAUGAAUCAGCCAGUGUGUGGUCACAUGUGCAGAAUGAGGUUAGCAUGAUGCUGUAGGACAGUGAAACAAAUGACUUAUGUGUGAUAUCACACAUAAGGAGCCUUAGAAUUUGGAGGGAUUAUAAUAUGGAAUAACGCUGAAUCUCGAAAGCUUUCAUUGCUUCAGGUCACUGCUUAUGUGUUUGCCCCCCCCGGUUUUUCUAAAGAUUGAUUGGUCUGCUCUUUGCAUUCGUCUUCUUUACAUAUGCCCUCUUUAAGCUAUACGGGUUGAGCUCUGGCCCCGAUCUGAUUCCAUCUUCCCCGCGCCAGGAGGCAGACGGACGGAUGAAACAGAAAAAAGAAUAACAAUAAUAAAAGGCACUGACAGGAGCCUGAGUGAGCCCUGACCUGGCUGCCGGCUCUUGUCUAUUCGUAACCCACACACACAUCGGCAGCAGGGUGGCAAACAUACAAAAACACACACACACACGCAAGCCCCGCCCCAUCUACUGCAUUAAAGUGGCAUCAGCGGAGAUGAAAAGGGCCUUUUCUGUUCCACCACUCAACUUCCACUCUAGCAUGCCCUCCCAAAUGACUGCGAUCAACACAUCUAACUCGGGUCCCACGGAUAAAAGCACUCACGGGGCACCGUGGAUACAGAGAAACUCCAAUUUUUGCUAAACGCGCAAAAGCCGACAAAUACGACCGAAAAUGCUACAAAGGACACAUUAACGCUUAAACAUCAAUUUGUAUGUCCCAGUCUCGGUGUGCUACUUAGCCACUGGGAAAACAAAUGAGCCGUGCCCAAUCGGAUGCUGCCAGACCUUGAGAGCCUCGAGGUGAAAAUGAGCGGAAUGGAUUGGGGUGAGCGCGGUUGAGCCGGCUCCUGCCUGCACGCUGACGUGCUAAAAACACGCCGCCGUAUACGUGGCGGCUUGUUUAUCGGUUCACUUGCGUGGAGUCACGUGACCCCCCCGCUUUGAUUUGUCUUCAUCUGUUUUCUUCCUUCAGACCCUCACAGUCAUUUUAAAGGC
Gasterosteus aculeatus aculeatus (three-spined stickleback) is the source of this 2576-nucleotide long non-coding RNA. The record is from Ensembl. Lineage: Eukaryota; Metazoa; Chordata; Actinopteri; Perciformes; Gasterosteidae.